Molecule: ribosomal RNA, 253 nt
Filed under: uncultured bacterium
Lineage: Bacteria
Description: partial 16S ribosomal RNA
Rfam family: Bacterial small subunit ribosomal RNA
Source: RNAcentral
UACGUAGGGGGCUAGCGUUGUCCGGAAUCAUUGGGCGUAAAGCGCGCGUAGGUGGCCCUAUAAGUCCGCUGUGAAAGUCAAAGGCUCAACCUUUGAAAGCCGGUGGAUACUGUAGGACUAGAGUACGGAAGAGGCGAGUGGAAUUCCUGGUGUAGCGGUGGAAUGCGCAGAUAUCAGGAGGAACACCAAUAGCGAAGGCAGCUCGCUGGGACGUUACUGACACUGAGGCGCGAAAGCGUGGGGAGCGAACAGG